Molecule: long non-coding RNA, 783 nt
Organism: Glycine soja
Lineage: Eukaryota; Viridiplantae; Streptophyta; Magnoliopsida; Fabales; Fabaceae
Exons: 2
Source: RefSeq, a predicted model, not a curated record
GUGGCAAGCGAGGUAUGCGGCGUAAAAAAAUGGUCAAAGUGGAUGGAGGAAGGAAACAGUAUUUGACUAUUUGUGAUUAGAUUUUCUUCAGUUUAAUGUAUUUACUAUUUACCUUUAAAUUGAAGCAUUACCAAUUAACUGUCACAGUCAUGCAACCUAAUCAUGAACCUACUUUCCUUAUUUGAAAAAUUCUAGGAUGGACCAAAUGACUAGGUUGUCCACCGGUGCACCGAAAAUUAUCAGCUGUUGGAUUUGAAUUUAAGAAACAUGGACCGUCUAGAUCAAACCAAGAUCUAACUUUUCCGGCGACACCGUGGCUUCGCCGUCGUGUCGCGUAUGAUCCAAACCAAUAGUUGCCUUUGCGAUUGACAACGCCAUCGCCAAACUCUUCGUCGACAGAGCAACAAAGGCCUUCGUGCAGUUUUGUUUACUAUGCAUGUAGAAGGAGCUUCUAGAUCGGAUCCAGAAGCAUACGUUUCCUGGGUGUUCAUUUUGUGUUUGUGUGCUUCGGUUGUUGGUGAAGAAAGGAGAAGGGGAAAGAGGGGAUGCUAAAGACUAAUGCGUCGUUUAUUUUAUCAAUUGCUGCUGUGUAAAUUACUUUUUGCAUCAGAGUUGGUUUCUUAAUCUAUUGGAAUUUGAGAUUAAUGAGAGCGGUGGAGUUUUCUUCAUGUUGCUGAAUCAGAUGGAGUUGUAAUUUGUAAAGGCACAAAGAUCUCAACUUGAUUCAUGUAGGGUACAAUGGUUUUUCUCUAUGAAAUGAGUUUUUUUUUUUUUCUUGAUUCA